CGGACGGGUGAGUAAUGUCUGGGAAACUGCCCGAUGGAGGGGGAUAACUACUGGAAACGGUAGCUAAUACCGCAUAACGUCGCAAGACCAAAGAGGGGACCUCGGGCCUCUUGCCAUCGGAUGUGCCCAGAUGGGAUUAGCUAGUAGGUGGGGUAACGGCUCACCUAGGCGACGAUCCCUAGCUGGUCUGAGAGGAUGACCAGCCACACUGGAACUGAGACACGGCCAG
Molecule: ribosomal RNA, 229 nt
Filed under: uncultured bacterium
Lineage: Bacteria
Description: partial 16S ribosomal RNA
Rfam family: Bacterial small subunit ribosomal RNA
Source: RNAcentral